UACGUAGGGGGCAAGCGUUGUCCGGAUUUAUUGGGCGUAAAGAGCGUGUAGGCGGCUAUACAGGUCCGCUGUGAAAACUCGAGCUCAACCUCGAGACGCCGGUGGAAACCAUCAGACUAGAGUCCGGAAGAGGAGAGUGGAAUUCCUGGUGUAGCGGUGAAAUGCGCAGAUAUCAGGAAGAACACCCGUGGCUAAGGCGGCUCUCUAGUACGGUACUGACGCUGAGACGCGAAAGCGUGGGGAGCGAACAGG
Molecule: ribosomal RNA, 252 nt
Filed under: uncultured bacterium
Lineage: Bacteria
Description: partial 16S ribosomal RNA
Rfam family: Bacterial small subunit ribosomal RNA
Source: RNAcentral